GGAAAGCCUUACCGUCCCUGGGGAACAGAAAGGGGAUGGGUUAGGGUUGGUAGGGGGAGCUGGAAGGAGGAGAGGGAAUGGGAACUGGGAUUGACAUGUAAAACAAGCUUGUUUCUAAUUUAAUUUUUUUUAAAAAAAGGAAAAAGAAGAAGGGAUGGAAAAGAAUAUGGAGCAUUUACAGAUAUAUCUGGGUCUAUUCAUCUAUUACAUUCAAGCAAACAAUAUUAUAAUUAUAAUUUGGGAAAAUGGAAUAAGUUCCCUCUCAACGCCUGUUCAGUCAGGACACAGAGUCUACUAAGGUCCCACAGAGAGAAUGCAUUCGGUGAUGGCACAGUUGGUUUUUACAGGAGGAAACUGGCAGCUACCCCAAAACAAACUCAGAAGUGAACUGAGGGCAGGAAUGAGAGGGAAAAGGGAGUCAGAGAUCAUGCAGAGAUGUUUUGAAGGGCUUUAUAAAAAGCUAUCUCUGUGGUCUACUGGUCUUACUGUCCAGUAAGGGAAAUUUUAACUUACUGUGAAACAGCUGAUAAAUAACAAAUGGUUUGUUUGUUUGCUUUUAUAGUUGCUGUGUUUAAAGCAAUUGCUGCGGAUUCUUGAGAUUUCUGAUAAGGACCCUGGAAAGGAGUAUGCAAAAGAGUGAAGAUAUAGGGGGGAUAGAAGCUGCUGAGUGGUGAAUGUGAGCUAGGUGGCAUGGCCACCAGACCUGUCUGCAGCCCAUCUCCACACCACAGCUUACAGGUUAGUAAACACUGAAGACUACUGAGAGUCACUCUCAGAUGAGCCAAGCUGCAAGAAAGACUCUCAAAGGAGUUCAACUGCCUGGAAGAAACCAGCCAAGCAACCUGAAAGCAGCAGAAAUGAGCCUGGCUGCCUGGAUGAGCUUUAGACCAACUGAGGCACAUGGAAGGGACACUCUCCAACCCAUUGAGCUGCCUGCAGGCUGUUCAGUAUGCUCCAGAUUCCCAGCUUUUGUGAGCUGUCACCCAUGCUGUGGUGGGCUUUGGUGAGGCAGCUGCUACUGUAUGUAAACCCCCACCCAUAUUCAUGUAAGUAACCCCAAUAAAACUCACAAAUUCACUAAGUUGGAC
RNAcentral lists this long non-coding RNA (1088 nucleotides) under Cricetulus griseus (Chinese hamster). RNAcentral describes it as "lncRNA (ENSCGRG00015039135.1)". The record is from RNAcentral. Lineage: Eukaryota; Metazoa; Chordata; Mammalia; Rodentia; Cricetidae.